CGGCGUUACCGGUCCGGCUUAACGGCGCAACAGCCGGCCUGGUUCCGUAUCGCCGGGGCCAGGGCGGGGAGGGACCGGCCGCCGGAGAGACCCGGUGGCUCCGUGGCGCAAUGGAUAGCGCAUUGGACUUCUAGAGGCUGAAGGCAUUCAAAGGUUCCGGGUUCGAGUCCCGGCGGAGUCGCAGUUUUUCCCGAUUUUUUUCCCCCCUCAAGAAAUUUUUUUCUGACCCCAUCCUUUCUCUCCUUUUUUUUCCACAAACGUUGAACAUGCCUCUUUUCCCUUCCGUUUCUCCUUCUGCCUGGGGCUUCUCCCCCGUUCCACCUCUAGUCGCUCGCGAGGUUGCGCCCGCCCGGCUUCCUCAGCUCGGUGGCUCUGGAUACUGGGCCCAGCUGACAGCAGAGCCCGAUCCAGGAACUGGGAGGAAUGGCUCCGGCCGGCGGCCAAGCGAGGCCUCACAGUUUUGGUCCAAAGCUGGCCCGGGUCUCGGUGUUCCGGAGCUGCCCCCACGCUCCAGGGCUGACAGCCUCUAGCCCCGAGCGCGGCGGGGACCGCUAGGGAGGGCGCAGGAAGGAUGAGAAGAUACACCUACACCCUGACCCGUGGUGUGCAGGCCGACUGCCCUUCCAGCCCCGAAGGCUUCAAAACUGUCGCUUACUGGAAUCCCCAGUGGGAUCAGAAAUGCAGAUUUAUGGAGUCGAUUGGGGAUGGGGCCGAGGAAUCUGCAUUUCUGGUAAGAACGCCCGCUGCUCUGCCCCAGGAUUCCAGUGCUGAGCUCCCAGGUCCGUUCUGCCCGUCAGCUCCCUCAGGCAGGGACUGCUAUCUUGUACCUCUUCUGCUGACAACUCAUAGGUUUGCAUGUGAUCAGGGUUCCACCUCACUAAAUGCGCGUAAACCAAUGAAUGGACUUUUCAAAAUUAAUUGUGACAAACGAUGCAAAAAAAUAAAAACUCCAAAAUUGUUUAAAAAGGUA
Suricata suricatta (meerkat) is the source of this 970-nucleotide long non-coding RNA. RefSeq lists it as uncharacterized. NCBI's taxonomy places the organism in Eukaryota, Metazoa, Chordata, Mammalia, Carnivora, Herpestidae. The transcript is spliced from 2 exons. The record is from RefSeq and is a predicted model, not a curated record.